AGCGUACACGGUGGAUGCCCUGGCAGUCAGAGGCGAUGAAGGACGUGCUAAUCUGCGAUAAGCGUCGGUAAGGUGAUAUGAACCGUUAUAACCGGCGAUUUCCGAAUGGGGAAACCCAGUGUGUUUCGACACACUAUCAUUAACUGAAUCCAUAGGUUAAUGAGGCGAACCGGGGGAACUGAAACAUCUAAGUACCCCGAGGAAAAGAAAUCAACCGAGAUUCCCCCAGUAGCGGCGAGCGAACGGGGAGGAGCCCAGAGCCUGAAUCAGUGUGUGUGUUAGUGGAAGCGUCUGGAAAGGCGCGCGAUACAGGGUGACAGCCCCGUACACAAAAAUGCACAUACUGUGAGCUCGAUGAGUAGGGCGGGACACGUGGUAUCCUGUCUGAAUAUGGGGGGACCAUCCUCCAAGGCUAAAUACUCCUGACUGACCGAUAGUGAACCAGUACCGUGAGGGAAAGGCGAAAAGAACCCCGGCGAGGGGAGUGAAAAAGAACCUGAAACCGUGUACGUACAAGCAGUGGGAGCCUCUUAAUGGGGUGACUGCGUACCUUUUGUAUAAUGGGUCAGCGACUUAUAUUCUGUAGCAAGGUUAACCGAAUAGGGGAGCCGAAGGGAAACCGAGUCUUAACUGGGCGUUAAGUUGCAGGGUAUAGACCCGAAACCCGGUGAUCUAGCCAUGGGCAGGUUGAAGGUUGGGUAACACUAACUGGAGGACCGAACCGACUAAUGUUGAAAAAUUAGCGGAUGACUUGUGGCUGGGGGUGAAAGGCCAAUCAAACCGGGAGAUAGCUGGUUCUCCCCGAAAGCUAUUUAGGUAGCGCCUCGUGAAUUCAUCUCCGGGGGUAGAGCACUGUUUCGGCAAGGGGGUCAUCCCGACUUACCAACCCGAUGCAAACUGCGAAUACCGGAGAAUGUUAUCACGGGAGACACACGGCGGGUGCUAACGUCCGUCGUGAAGAGGGAAACAACCCAGACCGCCAGCUAAGGUCCCAAAGUCAUGGUUAAGUGGGAAACGAUGUGGGAAGGCCCAGACAGCCAGGAUGUUGGCUUAGAAGCAGCCAUCAUUUAAAGAAAGCGUAAUAGCUCACUGGUCGAGUCGGCCUGCGCGGAAGAUGUAACGGGGCUAAACCAUGCACCGAAGCUGCGGCAGCGACGCUUAUGCGUUGUUGGGUAGGGGAGCGUUCUGUAAGCCUGUGAAGGUGGCCUGUGAGGGUUGCUGGAGGUAUCAGAAGUGCGAAUGCUGACAUAAGUAACGAUAAAGCGGGUGAAAAGCCCGCUCGCCGGAAGACCAAGGGUUCCUGUCCAACGUUAAUCGGGGCAGGGUGAGUCGACCCCUAAGGCGAGGCCGAAAGGCGUAGUCGAUGGGAAACAGGUUAAUAUUCCUGUACUUGGUGUUACUGCGAAGGGGGGACGGAGAAGGCUAUGUUGGCCGGGCGACGGUUGUCCCGGUUUAAGCGUGUAGGCUGGUUUUCCAGGCAAAUCCGGAAAAUCAAGGCUGAGGCGUGAUGACGAGGCACUACGGUGCUGAAGCGACAAAUGCCCUGCUUCCAGGAAAAGCCUCUAAGCAUCAGGUAACAUUAAAUCGUACCCCAAACCGACACAGGUGGUCAGGUAGAGAAUACCAAGGCGCUUGAGAGAACUCGGGUGAAGGAACUAGGCAAAAUGGUGCCGUAACUUCGGGAGAAGGCACGCUGAUAUGUAGGUGAAGCGACUUGCUCGUGGAGCUGAAAUCAGUCGAAGAUACCAGCUGGCUGCAACUGUUUAUUAAAAACACAGCACUGUGCAAACACGAAAGUGGACGUAUACGGUGUGACGCCUGCCCGGUGCCGGAAGGUUAAUUGAUGGGGUUAGCGGUAACGCGAAGCUCUUGAUCGAAGCCCCGGUAAACGGCGGCCGUAACUAUAACGGUCCUAAGGUAGCGAAAUUCCUUGUCGGGUAAGUUCCGACCUGCACGAAUGGCGUAAUGAUGGCCAGGCUGUCUCCACCCGAGACUCAGUGAAAUUGAACUCGCUGUGAAGAUGCAGUGUACCCGCGGCAAGACGGAAAGACCCCGUGAACCUUUACUAUAGCUUGACACUGAACAUUGAGCCUUGAUGUGUAGGAUAGGUGGGAGGCUUUGAAGUGUGGACGCCAGUCUGCAUGGAGCCGACCUUGAAAUACCACCCUUUAAUGUUUGAUGUUCUAACGUGGGCCCCUUACCGGGGUUGCGGACAGUGUCUGGUGGGUAGUUUGACUGGGGCGGUCUCCUCCUAAAGAGUAACGGAGGAGCACGAAGGUUGGCUAAUCCUGGUCGGACAUCAGGAGGUUAGUGCAAUGGCAUAAGCCAGCUUGACUGCGAGCGUGACGGCGCGAGCAGGUGCGAAAGCAGGUCAUAGUGAUCCGGUGGUUCUGAAUGGAAGGGCCAUCGCUCAACGGAUAAAAGGUACUCCGGGGAUAACAGGCUGAUACCGCCCAAGAGUUCAUAUCGACGGCGGUGUUUGGCACCUCGAUGUCGGCUCAUCACAUCCUGGGGCUGAAGUAGGUCCCAAGGGUAUGGCUGUUCGCCAUUUAAAGUGGUACGCGAGCUGGGUUUAGAACGUCGUGAGACAGUUCGGUCCCUAUCUGCCGUGGGCGCUGGAGAACUGAGGGGGGCUGCUCCUAGUACGAGAGGACCGGAGUGGACGCAUCACUGGUGUUCGGGUUGUCAUGCCAAUGGCACUGCCCGGUAGCUAAAUGCGGAAGAGAUAAGUGCUGAAAGCAUCUAAGCACGAAACUUGCCCCGAGAUGAGUUCUCCCUGACUCCUUGA
Molecule: ribosomal RNA, 2788 nt
Filed under: human gut metagenome
Description: bacterial LSU rRNA
Rfam family: Bacterial large subunit ribosomal RNA
Source: RNAcentral